This 300-nucleotide unclassified non-coding RNA is filed under the name Hevea brasiliensis (rubber tree). The record is from RNAcentral. Lineage: Eukaryota; Viridiplantae; Streptophyta; Magnoliopsida; Malpighiales; Euphorbiaceae.
UGGGAAGGGAGAGUGAAUGGAGGAGAUUGUAAUCUGACAUCUUCUUCUUCUUCGUCGGGUUGUACUAGUAUGAGUGCUGGAGGAGGAACCACUUAUAUACAACACACCGUUUCUAAAUUUGAUACGCUUGCUGGUGUAGCUAUCAGAUAUGGUGUUGAGGUGGCUGAUAUUAAAAGGAUAAAUGGCCUCGUUUCAGAUCUCCAAAUGUUUGCUCUCAAAACACUUCAUAUACCCUUACCUGGGCGGCAUCCCCCAUCGCCCAUCAUAUCAAAUGGUGGUCAAGGACCUAGCAGCUCUGAG